GUCUACAGCCAUGCUACCCUGAACAAGCCCAAUCCCGUCUGAUCUCGGAAGCUAAGCAAGGUCGAACCUGGUUAGUACUUGGAUGGGAGACCACCUACGAAGACCAGGUGCUGUAGGCG
Molecule: ribosomal RNA, 119 nt
Filed under: Pteropus alecto (black flying fox)
Lineage: Eukaryota; Metazoa; Chordata; Mammalia; Chiroptera; Pteropodidae
Source: RNAcentral